UACAGAGGUCUCAAGCGUUGUUCGGAAUCACUGGGCGUAAAGGGUGCGUAGGUGGCGUCGUAAGUCGGGUGUGAAAUUUCGGAGCUUAACUCCGAAACUGCAUUCGAUACUGCGGUGCUUGAGGACUGGAGGGGAGACUGGAAUUUACGGUGUAGCAGUGAAAUGCGUAGAGAUCGUAAGGAAGACCAGUGGCGAAGGCGGGUCUCUGGACAGUUCCUGACACUGAGGCACGAAGGCCAGGGGAGCAAACGGG
This 253-nucleotide ribosomal RNA is filed under the name uncultured bacterium. Its description in RNAcentral is "partial 16S ribosomal RNA". It matches the Rfam family "Bacterial small subunit ribosomal RNA", at positions 524 to 776 of the family's 1533-position model. The record is from RNAcentral.